RNAcentral lists this ribosomal RNA (482 nucleotides) under uncultured bacterium. RNAcentral describes it as "bacterial SSU rRNA". It matches the Rfam family "Bacterial small subunit ribosomal RNA", at positions 8 to 525 of the family's 1533-position model. The record is from RNAcentral.
AGAGUUUGAUCCUGGCUCAGAACGAACGCUGGCGGCAUGCCUAACACAUGCAAGUUGAACGAGAAAGCACCUUCGGGUGUGAGUAGAGUGGCGCACGGGUGAGUAACGCGUGGGAACCUGCCAAGCAGUGGGGAAUAACCUUUGGAAACGAAGGCUAAUACCGCAUACGCCCUUCGGGGGAAAGAUUUAUCGCUGUUUGAUGGUCCCGCGUCCAAUUAGCUAGUUGGUAGGGUAAUGGCCUACCAAGGCGACGAUUGGUAGCUGGUCUGAGAGGAUGAUCAGCCACACUGGGACUGAGACACGGCCCAGACUCCUACGGGAGGCAGCAGUGGGGAAUAUUGGACAAUGGGGGAAACCCUGAUCCAGCAAUGCCGCGUGAGUGAAGAAGGCCCUAGGGUUGUAAAACUCUUUCAGUAGCGAUGAUGAUGACAGUAGCUACAGAAGAAGCACCGGCUAACUUCGUGCCAGCAGCCGCGGUAAUA